RNAcentral lists this unclassified non-coding RNA (271 nucleotides) under Hevea brasiliensis (rubber tree). Lineage: Eukaryota; Viridiplantae; Streptophyta; Magnoliopsida; Malpighiales; Euphorbiaceae. The record is from RNAcentral.
GUAAAAACAAUUUUCUAUAAAUGUUCAAAGUAAAUCUGAACAAAAGUGAUUUUUUGGGCAACUCAAAAAACCAAAAAACCAAAUUUGCAAGUUUUGACAAAAUGCCAUAACUGUCCCAUGUAACCAAUAUCAAAAUUUCAGCAGGACAAAAUUACAAAAUGCGCUUCCCACUCCCAUUGAUCUUAUUACUAACCAAUCACCUGCAAUGGUGAUUGAUUGGGAUAUGAUAUAUAUAUAUAAGCAGAAGCAAAUUUACUCCUACUGACAUUAU